UACGGGGGGGUGCGAGCGUUGUCCGGAAUCACUGGGCGUAAAGGGCGCGUAGGUGGCCUGAUAAGGGUGUGGUGAAAGUCCGGGGGCUCAACCCCCGGAUCUGCCGUGCCGACUGUUGGGCUGGAGUACUGUAGGGGCAGGCGGAAUUCCGGGUGUAGCGGUGGAAUGCGUAGAGAUCCGGAGGAAGACCGGUGGCGAAGGCGGCCUGCUGGGCAGUUACUGACACUGAGGCGCGACAGCGGUGGGGAGCAAACAGG
Molecule: ribosomal RNA, 257 nt
Filed under: uncultured bacterium
Lineage: Bacteria
Description: partial 16S ribosomal RNA
Rfam family: Bacterial small subunit ribosomal RNA
Source: RNAcentral